This 73-nucleotide transfer RNA is filed under the name Stegodyphus mimosarum. The record is from Rfam by way of RNAcentral. Lineage: Eukaryota; Metazoa; Arthropoda; Arachnida; Araneae; Eresidae.
GCCUUCGUGGUGUAGUGGUUAGCACACUUGACAUGUAUUCGAGAGGUCCGUGGUUCGGAUCCCUGCGAGGGCG